CCUACGGGUGGCUGCAGUGGGGAAUAUUGCACAAUGGGCGCAAGCCUGAUGCAGCCAUGCCGCGUGUGUGAAGAAGGCCUUCGGGUUGUAAAGCACUUUUAGCGGGGAGGGAGGCGGUGAGGUUAAUAACCUCAUCGAUUGACGUUACCCGCAGAAGAAGCACCGGCUAACUCCGUGCCAGCAGCCGCGGUAAUACGGAGGGUGCAAGCGUUAAUCGGAAUUACUGGGCGUAAAGCGCACGCAGGCGGUCUGUCAAGUCGGAUGUGAAAUCCCCGGGCUCAACCUGGGAACUGCAUUCGAAACUGGCAGGCUAGAGUCUUGUAGAGGGGGGUAGAAUUCCAGGUGUAGCGGUGAAAUGCGUAGAGAUCUGGAGGAAUACCGGUGGCGAAGGCGGCCCCCUGGACAAAGACUGACGCUCAGGUGCGAAAGCGUGGGGAGCAAACAGGAUUAGAUACCCGUGUAGUC
RNAcentral lists this ribosomal RNA (465 nucleotides) under uncultured Klebsiella sp. RNAcentral's name for it is "bacterial SSU rRNA". It matches the Rfam family "Bacterial small subunit ribosomal RNA", at positions 338 to 795 of the family's 1533-position model. Lineage: Bacteria; Pseudomonadati; Pseudomonadota; Gammaproteobacteria; Enterobacterales; Enterobacteriaceae. The record is from RNAcentral.